RNAcentral lists this long non-coding RNA (819 nucleotides) under Homo sapiens (human). Its description in RNAcentral is "HSALNT0049860". The record is from RNAcentral. Lineage: Eukaryota; Metazoa; Chordata; Mammalia; Primates; Hominidae.
UCCAGUUGCUCUGUAUCUACACCAGACUGCACAUACAUGGAUCCCAGGCUGCUUGAUACUGUUCUUCAUCCUCCUUCACAGACUCCAAAUACGUGGAUCCCAGGCUGCUUGAUACUGUUCUCCAUCCUCCUUCGCAGACUCCAGAUACGUGGAUCCUAUUACCCUAAUAUCGUUCUGCAGGUUGCUGAAGAUCUCUUCUUUUUCUUUUAGUCUUAUUCUCUCUGUGAUGCAUAUUGAAUUGUUUCUGUUUCACUCUUCAGGUUCAUUGAUCUUUCCUUCUGCAAUAUCUAACCUGCUGUAAAUACUAUUCAGUGUAUUUUAAAAACUCAGAUAUAUUUUUCAUUUCUACAAGUUUUUAAAAAUACCUUCUACUUCUCAUUAGGUUUUUUUCCCCUCAACAAUCUUGAUUAUAGGAGCAUAUUCAUAAUAGAUAAUUAAACAUUUGUAUCUGCUAAUUCUGUCAUUUCUGGUGCCUGUUUCUAUUGAUCUAUUUUUCUCCUGACUGUGAGUUAUAUGUUACUUCUUUGUAGACCUGAUAAUUUUUGACUGGGUAUUUUGGAGUUCUGGAUUCUGUUGUAUUAUUGAUAUACUCCUGUUGAGGAGUAUAGGAUUUUAUUCUGGCACAUGGCUCAAUGACUUAGGAUCAGUUUGAUCCUUUUAAGCUUUCUUUAAGAUCUGUUAGGGCAGGUCGACAUUAGUCUUUAGUUCAGCACUACUAAAGUGACACCCCACUGAGGACUCUAUGCAAUAGACUCCCAGCCCUGUUUGAGCUCCAGGAAGUGUUUGACUUACUGCUUUCUAGUGGUUCUUUCCCCAGCC